This 253-nucleotide ribosomal RNA is filed under the name uncultured bacterium. RNAcentral describes it as "partial 16S ribosomal RNA". It matches the Rfam family "Bacterial small subunit ribosomal RNA", at positions 524 to 776 of the family's 1533-position model. The record is from RNAcentral.
UACGUAGGGGGCAAGCGUUGUCCGGAAUCAUUGGGCGUAAAGAGCGUGUAGGCGGCCCGAUAAGUCCGCCGUGAAAGUCCAGGGCUCAACCCUGGGAUGCCGGUGGAAACUGUCGGGCUAGAGUCCGGAAGAGGCGAGUGGAAUUCCUGGUGUAGCGGUGAAAUGCGCAGAUAUCAGGAGGAGCACCGGUGGUGUAGACGGCUUACUGGACCACGACUGACACUGAGGCACGAAAGCGUGGGUAGCAAACAGG